CCUACGGGAGGCAGCAGUGGGGAAUAUUGGACAAUGGGGGCAACCCUGAUCCAGCCAUGCCGCGUGUGUGAAGAAGGCCCUCGGGUUGUAAAGCACUUUCAGUGAGGAAGAACGCCUGGUGGUUAAUACCCAUCAGGAAAGACAUCACUCACAGAAGAAGCACCGGCUAAACUCCGUGCCAGCAGCCGCGGUAAUACGGAGGGUGCGAGCGUUAAUCGGAAUUACUGGGCGUAAAGCGCGCGUAGGUGGCUUGAUAAGCCGGUUGUGAAAGCCCCGGGCUCAACCUGGGAACGGCAUCCGGAACUGUCAAGCUAGAGUGCAGGAGAGGAAGGUAGAAUUCCCGGUGUAGCGGUGAAAUGCGUAGAGAUCGGGAGGAAUACCAGUGGCGAAGGCGGCCUUCUGGACUGACACUGACACUGAGGUGCGAAAGCGUGGGUAGCAAACAGGAUUAGAUACCCUGGUAGUC
Molecule: ribosomal RNA, 466 nt
Filed under: Vreelandella stevensii
Lineage: Bacteria; Pseudomonadati; Pseudomonadota; Gammaproteobacteria; Oceanospirillales; Halomonadaceae
Description: partial 16S ribosomal RNA
Rfam family: Bacterial small subunit ribosomal RNA
Source: RNAcentral